Oncorhynchus tshawytscha (Chinook salmon) is the source of this 314-nucleotide long non-coding RNA. NCBI's taxonomy places the organism in Eukaryota, Metazoa, Chordata, Actinopteri, Salmoniformes, Salmonidae. The record is from Ensembl.
GCAGCACAGUCAGAUGGAAGUUGAAACUGGAGCAGCAGCAUGGCCAGGUGGACUGGGGACAGCAAGGAGUCAUCAUGUCAGGUAGUCCUGGGGCAUGGUCCUAGGGCCCAGGUCAGUUGAAACUGGAACAGCAGCAUGGCCAGGUGGACUGGGGACAGCAAGGAGUCAUCAUGUCAGGUAGUCCUGGAGCUCAGGUCCUAGGGCUCAGGUCAGUUGAAACUGGAACAGCAGCAUGGCCAGGUGGACUGGGGACAGCAAGGAGUCAUCAUGUCAGGUAGUCCUGGAGCUCAGGUCCUAGGGCUCAGGUCCUCCGG